GCAGACCCGAAACCAAGUGACCUACCCAUGACCAGGUUGAAGGCGCGGUAAAACGCGCUGGAGGACCGAACCCACGUAAGUUGAAAAUUGCGGGGAUGAGUUGUGGGUAGCGGUGAAAUUCCAAACGAACUUGGAGAUAGCUGGUUCUCUCCGAAAUAGCUUUAGGGCUAGCCUCGCAAAGAGGAUGCUGGAGGUAGAGCUCUGUUUGGACUAGGGGCCCGUCAAGGGUUACUGAAUUCAGAUAAACUGCGAAUUCCAGACAUUUAUGUGCGGGAGUCAGACUGCGAGUGAUAAGAUCCGUAGUCGAAAGGGAAACAGCCCAGAUCACCAGUUAAGGUCCCAAAAUUCAUGCUAAGUGGAAAAGGAUGUGGAGUUGCGCAGACAACUAGGACGUUGGCUCAGAAGCAGCCAUCAUUCAAAGAGUGCGUAAUAGCUCACUAGUCGAGUGACGCCGCGCCGAAAAUUUACCGGGGCUAAGCAUGAUACCGAAACUGUGGAUGUGCAUUUAUGCACGUGGUAGGAGAGCGUUCUAGCGGCGGUGAAGCAUGACCGAGAGGACAUGUGGAGCUUCUAGAAGUGAGAAUGCCGGUAUGAGUAACGAAAGACAGGUGAGAAUCCUGUCCGCCGCAAGACUAAGGUUUCCUGGGGCAGGCUCGUCCGCCCAGGGUAAGUCGGGACCUAAGGCGAGGCCGAGAGGCGUAGUCGAUGGACAACAGGUUGAAAUUCCUGUACUGCACCGAAUCGUUAUGAGCGAUGGAGGGACGCAGGAGGCUAGCAGCGCGUGGUGCUGGAUACCACGUUCAAGCGUCAAGUCUGAGAGCGAGUCAAAUGCUUGCUUUCAUAAGGACAAGGCGUGAUGAGGAGCGAAAUUAAAGUAGCGAAGGCUGCGACGUCACACUGCCGAGAAAAGCUUCUAGCCAGAAACGGUGCACCCGUACCGCAAACCGACACAGGUAGUCGAGGAGAGUAUCCUCAGGUGAGCGAGAGAACUCUCGUUAAGGAACUCGGCAAAAUGGCCCCGUAACUUCGGGAGAAGGGGCGCUGGUCGCAAGAUCAGCCGCAGUGAAAAGGCCCAAGCAACUGUUUAUCAAAAACACAGGCAUCUGCAAAAUCGUAAGAUGAAGUAUAGGUGCUGACACCUGCCCGGUGCUGGAAGGUUAAGAGGAGAGCUUAGCGCAAGCGAAGGUUUGAAUUGAAGCCCCAGUAAACGGCGGCCGUAACUAUAACGGUCCUAAGGUAGCGAAAUUCCUUGUCGGGUAAGUUCCGACCUGCACGAAAGGUGUAAUGAUUUGGGCACUGUCUCAACGAGAGACUCGGUGAAAUUAUAAUACCCGUGAAGAUGCGGGUUACCCGCGACAGGACGGAAAGACCCCAUGGA
Molecule: ribosomal RNA, 1378 nt
Filed under: Lactobacillus delbrueckii subsp. bulgaricus
Lineage: Bacteria; Bacillati; Bacillota; Bacilli; Lactobacillales; Lactobacillaceae
Description: partial 23S ribosomal RNA
Rfam family: Bacterial large subunit ribosomal RNA
Source: RNAcentral